RNAcentral lists this transfer RNA (73 nucleotides) under Dictyocaulus viviparus (bovine lungworm). It matches the Rfam family "tRNA". From Rfam's summary of the family: Transfer RNA (tRNA) molecules are approximately 80 nucleotides in length. Their secondary structure includes four short double-helical elements and three loops (D, anti-codon, and T loops). Further hydrogen bonds mediate the characteristic L-shaped molecular structure. tRNAs have two regions of fundamental functional importance: the anti-codon, which is responsible for specific mRNA codon recognition, and the 3' end, to which the tRNAs corresponding amino acid is attached (by aminoacyl-tRNA synthetases). tRNAs cope with the degeneracy of the genetic code in two manners: having more than one tRNA (with a specific anti-codon) for a particular amino acid; and 'wobble' base-pairing, i.e. permitting non-standard base-pairing at the 3rd anti-codon position. Lineage: Eukaryota; Metazoa; Nematoda; Chromadorea; Rhabditida; Metastrongylidae. The record is from Rfam by way of RNAcentral.
GCUUCUGUAGUGUAAUCGGUUAGCAUAACAGACCGCACAUCUAUGGGUGCGAGUUCGAGUCUCGACUGAGGUU